This 481-nucleotide ribosomal RNA is filed under the name uncultured bacterium. RNAcentral describes it as "partial 16S ribosomal RNA". It matches the Rfam family "Bacterial small subunit ribosomal RNA", at positions 28 to 523 of the family's 1533-position model. The record is from RNAcentral.
GAUGAACGCUGGCGGCGUGCUUAACACAUGCAAGUCGAACGGAGAAAAGAAGCUUGCUUCUUUUCUUAGUGGCGGACGGGUGAGUAACGCGUGGGUAACCUGCCCUAUGCAGGGGGAUAACGUUGGGAAACCAACGCUAAUACCGCAUAAAACAAAGAGCUUGCAUGAGCUUUUUGUCAAAGAUUUAUCGGCAUAGGAUGGACCCGCGUUGGAUUAGCUAGUUGGUGAGAUAACAGCCCACCAAGGCGACGAUCCAUAGCCGGCCUGAGAGGGUGAACGGCCACAUUGGGACUGAGACACGGCCCAAACUCCUACGGGAGGCAGCAGUGGGGAAUAUUGCACAAUGGGCGCAAGCCUGAUGCAGCGACGCCGCGUGAAGGAUGAAGGUUUUCGGAUCGUAAACUUCUAUCAGCAGGGAGGAACCAAAUGACGGUACCUGACUAAGAAGCCCCGGCUAACUACGUGCCAGCAGCCGCCGUAA